GCACCCGUAGCUCAGCUGGAUAGAGCGCUGCCCUCCGAAGGCAGAGGUCAUGAGUUCGAAUCUCGUCGGGUGCACCA
This 77-nucleotide transfer RNA is filed under the name Magnetovibrio blakemorei. RNAcentral describes it as "tRNA-Arg". It matches the Rfam family "tRNA". From Rfam's summary of the family: Transfer RNA (tRNA) molecules are approximately 80 nucleotides in length. Their secondary structure includes four short double-helical elements and three loops (D, anti-codon, and T loops). The record is from RNAcentral. RNAcentral also lists the same sequence under 22 other names. Lineage: Bacteria; Pseudomonadati; Pseudomonadota; Alphaproteobacteria; Rhodospirillales; Magnetovibrionaceae.